GCAGAUAAAAUCGAAAGUAAAUUCUUCUUGAAACAUCGGAGCAAAUGACAAAAGGGAAGAUACAAUAGUUACGUCUAAGUGGAGAUUGGAGGAGAGGGUCUAAGCCUCUAAAAUUUGUCUCUCUGAGAUGAGUACUUCCUCUAAAAGUAGUUUGUCUUCAAAGAUGAAGAAGAGCCCAAUUCAGCGGAAGAGACCAGCCUCCCCUGGACCCAGCUGUGUGUCUAUGAAGAGUGACAAUUCUAUGGAUCUUCCUUUAAACCUCAGAGAGGGAGACUUUUCUACUGA
This is a long non-coding RNA of Esox lucius (northern pike), 285 nucleotides long. RefSeq lists it as uncharacterized. The transcript has 3 exons. Lineage: Eukaryota; Metazoa; Chordata; Actinopteri; Esociformes; Esocidae. The record is from RefSeq and is a predicted model, not a curated record.